UUUUUGAGAAUCAUGAUGAGGCAUUAAAGAAGAGGAGGAGUGUCUCAAGGGAGGUGAGCUGGAGGUGAUGCAAGGAUGUCUGAUCUGAAAGCAUGUUGUGGUCCGCUACACACAAGAGCAAAAGAAGAGCAGGAAGGAGCUCAGUGCCAAGACCAUAGCCACAGGAAGAAAACCAGCUCUUAGGGCUGCAGCUCUAAAGACAGGCCAGGUCAUUACAGGAACGUCUGCUCCCUUAGCCUUGCCAGACAGAGGAGGGUUAAGAAAGGAACUGCUGACCCUGAUAUGCAAACUGCCACGAGUGCUUCCUGCCUUUCUAUCAGCAUCAGAUGGCUAGCGAUGGAUGGCUGUAAGAUUGAUGUAAUUAACAUUUUAUUUUCAGGGCCACAGUGCUGGUUGGGUGCACCAGACAAAUCAACCAACAGAUUAAAGAGUGAUGGAGAAAGCUGUGUUUUGGGCCUCAUUUGGGAACAGAAUGGAAGAGCUGAGGGUGGAAGGGACCUCAGCAAGUCUUCUGAUCCAUGUUUCAACCUUCAUUUCCCCGAUAACCUCAAGGAGAGAGUUGCUUUUCCUGUUCUUCAAAUGAGUUCCUUGAAUUCACACUCUAUUUCUUUGAAUUUGCACAGACUGUUGAGGAACAGGCGGCAGGGUCACUCUA
Molecule: long non-coding RNA, 655 nt
Filed under: Homo sapiens (human)
Lineage: Eukaryota; Metazoa; Chordata; Mammalia; Primates; Hominidae
Description: non-protein coding lnc-DAD1-2:4
Source: RNAcentral